RNAcentral lists this ribosomal RNA (497 nucleotides) under uncultured bacterium. Its description in RNAcentral is "partial 16S ribosomal RNA". It matches the Rfam family "Bacterial small subunit ribosomal RNA", at positions 28 to 507 of the family's 1533-position model. The record is from RNAcentral.
GAUGAACGCUGGCGGCGUGCCUAAUACAUGCAAGUCGAGCGAACAGAUCAGGAGCUUUCUCCUCCGACGUUAGCGGCGGACGGGUGAGUCACACGUGGAUAACCUACCUCUAAGACUGGGAUAACUUCGGGAAACCGGAGCUAAUACCGGAUAAUAUAUUGAACCUCAUGGUUCAAUCGUUAAAUACGGUUUUUCUGUCACUUAUAGAUGGAUCCGCGCCGCAUUAGCUAGUUGGUAAGGUAACGGCUUACCCAGGCAACGAUGCGUAGCCGACCUCAGAGGGUGAUCCGCCACACUGGAAGUGAGACAGAGUCCCGACACCUACGGGAGGAAGCAGCAGGGAAUCUUACGCGAGGGAGGAGAGGCGGACGGAGCAACGCCGCGGGAGGGAUGAUGGACUUCGGAUCGUAGAGCGAUGAUAUUAGGGAAGAUCAAAAGUGUAAGUACCUAUGCACGUAUUGACGGUACCGAAACAAUAAGCUCCGGCUAACUACGUG